This is a long non-coding RNA of Alosa alosa (allis shad), 653 nucleotides long. RefSeq lists it as uncharacterized. Lineage: Eukaryota; Metazoa; Chordata; Actinopteri; Clupeiformes; Clupeidae. The record is from RefSeq and is a predicted model, not a curated record. The transcript has 6 exons.
AUGUGAGCCUUUACAGACAAGGAGUUUUGGACAGCCUCUUGUAAAGUGUUUAUAAAGUGGGUUUUGAUGGUUCAAAGGGCCAGAGAUCGACCUCUCAUCAUCAGCAACAUGCAGUAACUGGGGUGUCUGGCAUGCUUGAAUGGGAAAUAGUGUUUGGGUCAAGAAGACUUUUACUGAUGCAGUGUGGGGAAAGGGGACUUUCAAGAGUAGGGUUUAACAAAAGUAUACCUGCUGGAUGAAGCAGGGCAUGCGUAGAGAACAUCUGUGAGACAGGAGGCAGCAGGUUGCACAGCAAUGUGUGGAUGACCCAUAUGGUGUCAAUGCAGUAGUGGUGAUUGAAGACCAAUCCUUCCCCCUCUGGAGGAAUCAUCUCACUGUCCCACAGCAAUGUGUGGAUGAUCCGUAUGGCUUCAACGCCACAAUGGUGAUUGGGGACAGAUCCUUCCCCCUUAGGAGGUGUCAUCCAUUUCAACUCCCUGUCUUAGCCGCUAGGCCCUUGCCAGAACCUUGCAAUGACGGCGUGGAACCACUGGGAGUAUCCAUGGAAACUUGCCUGGACUGGGAGAGAGUCCAGCCAAAGAGGUCGGAAGAGGAAGAAGGAAGAAGAGGAGAACAUAAGGGAACAUAGAUAUAUCAAAGAUCCUUGAUUACUA